CAAGUAAACUCCUCCUUCCGUGCGGUGCGCUGGUUGCGUUAGGUGUUUCGACACCAUCAGAAAGCAGCCGGAACAGAUACUGCAGUACCGCGCUCUUCCUGGAGCUCCAAUGUCACUCCGAGGUCACCACGCAGAAGAAAACACCUGCGGGUGGGCUGGGGCAAUGGCUCAGUCAGGAAAACGUAUGCCUGGACUGCAUGAGGACCUGAGGCCAGUCCUCGGAAUCUACAUUUUAAAGAAAAACUUCAAGUGGAAUGGUGACUACUUAGCCAGAGGGCCAGGAGAAACAAGUGGAUCCCUCGGGCUCCCUGCUCAGCCAAGCUAGUCGAUUUGGGAAUAAAAACAUAGACAGCAUCUGAGGAAUGACCCCAGAAGCCAGCACCGGUCAUGGCCCCGUUGGAAGCUUGCCUUUCCAGUAGCCAAAGGACAGGAUGAAAAUCUGCUGACCUCCCGCCGGAGCAACUUCCUUCAGACCUCACAGGCUCAGGCGGACAGAACAGAGGCGUUCCCACCAAACUGAGCUGGCACCUGGCCCUCUCCUGCUCACAGUGAUGCAUCAGUGGAGCAGAGAAAGAGGUGGCUGGGCCUCCCAGAUCUCAACUUAAAAAAUGACAGUUAGAAAAGCCAGUUAUGUGGGGAGAUCUGUCCGGAGUAACUGUCUCCCCAGUAGAAAAAAAAUUCAACAUGCAAAAUUCAAGAUGGACAAGAAGCAUGGUGGUACAGGUCUUUAAUCUCAGCACUUGGGAGGCAGAGGCAGGUAGAUCUCUGUGAGGUUGAGGUCAGUCAGUCUGGCCUACACAGCGAGUUCCAGGACAGCCAGGACUACACAAUGAAAGCUUGUCUCCAAAAAAGUAGGGCUGGGUGUAGUAGCGCAUGCCUUUAGUUCCAGGACUCAGGAGGCAGAGGCUAGACAAGCCUGGUCUACAAGUAGAGUUCCAGUACAGCCAGGACUACACAGAGAGACACUGUUUUGAAAAACCAAAAAAAAAAAGGAGCGAUGACAUUUUAAAAACAAUUUCAGUUCCACACACCUUGUUUUUCCUGACUCAGCUUCCAGAAUGCUGAGAUCACAGGUGUGCCCCAUGAUGCCUGGCUCUAAAGUCCAUUUAUUGGUGAGCAGAUAUUAACUGCUCAUUAUGCAGGAAACCCUGAACUUGCACCAGGAGGGGAGGUGGAGAAAAGACACAUUACUUCCCCCCACCCCCCCAGAAGCCCAGGGCUAGGAGGGGCCUGUGUGCAGACACAAUAAAUAACAAGUGGGCAGCUUGAAGCAGCAGAACCAGAAGCCAAAGAUUUUAAAUGAAGGUGUCAGCGGGGUGGGUUUCUUUUGGUGCAGUGGUUCUCAGCCUUCCUGAUGCUGUGACCCUUUCAUGCAGUUUCUCAUGUUGUGGUGACCCCCAACCAUAACAUUAUUUCGUUGCUACUUCAUAACUGUAAUUUUACUACUGUUAGGAAUUGUAAUGUAAAUAUAUGAUAGGCAGGAUAUCUGAUAUGGGACCCCUGUGACAGGGUCGCUCUACCCCUAAAGGGGUCACCACAUACAGGUUGAAAAACCAUUGUUCUGGAAGCUGAGGGAGACGCUAUUCUGUCUCUCUCCAAACUUCCUGUGGCUGACCGCAGUCCUUGGUAGGGACACAUCCUUGUGUCCCUUGGUAGAGACACAUCCCUCUGAUCUCUGCCUCUAUCCUUGUAUUUACUGCCUCUGUAUCCCCUUUUAUUCAUUGUUUUGUUUUGGUUUUUGAGAUGAGGGUCUACGUAGCCCAGGCUGGCCUUAAAUUCUUGACCCUUCUGUCUAAUAUUCCUGAAUGCUAGAACAGAAUCAUAGGCAUGAACCACUGUGCCCCUGCUCCCAGGCUUCUCUUACAAGGAUAGUAGUCAUUGGAUUUGCUUCGCCUUAAACCCAUUGUUAUUGAAUCAUCAAGAUCCUUUGGCACACACACCUUUAAUCCCAGCACUCGGGAGGCAGAGGCAUGUGGAUCUCUUGAGAGUUCAAGGUCAGCCUGGUCUACAGAGCGAGUUCCAGGACAGGCUCCAAAGCCACGCAGAGAAACUCUGUCCCAAAAAACAAAACAAACAAACAAAAAGAUCCUUCACUACUCAAAUUUGUGAAGACUCUGAGUUUCUGGAUAGACAUGAAUUUGGAAGAGAGUGUGUGUGUGUGUGGGGGGGCGGGUGCUAUUUAACACAACCCACGUGGUCAGCCAUGGAAAGAUUCAUGUAAAGCUGCAAGAGCAGGGCACACGUGACCCUUGGUAAACUGAGACCUAAGUGGUAAACAGCAACUCUGAGAAACAGGAAGUGGACAGUGAGCACAUGAAUUAUCCACCACACAGAUCAGUAAAGUGUGACCCACCCAGGGAGGUGACUACUGAAGUCAGACGAAAGACAGAGAGGCAGGGGAGAAACACAAUUCGUGAGAUGUUUUAUGGAGUUAAGUUUGGGUUGUAAAUGUCUCUGAAAGGUUGGAGGCAGAAGAAAAUUCCAGAAAGUUCAGCCUGGCUGGGAUGAGCACGAUGGUGAAGACAGAGGCAAGGGUCUUUUAUCUCAAGGAAAAGAUCCGAGUAUUGGAAGGCAUGAGGUAGAAACUCUGUGGAGAUGUUCCCCAGGUUGUCCCUAGCAACAAGCUGAAGCCGCUUCCACUGAGCCAAAUGUAGGGUUUUACAAAACACAGACAGGAUCCAAUGCUGGCCAGCCAUGCCCCUGCAUCCAGCUGAAUCAACACUGACCCAAAGGGGUGUGGGGACCUCAAAGGAGUCUGCAAGCCCUUCUUACACUUGUUCUCCGUCUAAGCAGGGAAAGGAGCUGGGAUGUGAACAAGACUUUUCAAUGACUGUCCUAUAAACACUACACCCGUCAGACACGUACACAAUCCCUUUUAUGGUCCAUGAAAUGUACAUCCCUUAAAUGCUACUUGGCGUCUGCUCACAAAUAAAUGUGUGUCCUCAGUAGCUCUGUCUGCUCAUCAUAGACCAUCCACUCCCUUGAGCACCCAGGCAGCUGUCUCACAUCUUCUCCUCUGGACUCCAAAACUCCCGGUGUGAGCACAUGUAAGACUUGAUUGCUUACCUUCCUCUUAACCCGCCUCCCCUUUUGGAAAGUGAAUAACUUGAGGGCAAGAAAGUUUGUCUUGUCCACCUCUAAAUUCUCAACUCUUAACAUACAUACAUCUUACCAAGUGAAUGAAUAGAUGGUGAGUGGGUGGAUACAUGGAUUGGUGGAUGGAUGGAGGACAAGAGGAUGACUGGUAGAUGAAUGGAUGGAUGGAUGGAUGGGUGAUGGAAAGACAGACAGAUGGAUGGACGAACAGAUGACAUAUGGGUAGAUGAUAGGCAAAUAAGUGUAUGUAUGGAUAUAUGGCUAUAUCUUUGUGAUACUAUACUGGCUUCAAAUCUAAUAA
This is a long non-coding RNA of Peromyscus maniculatus bairdii (prairie deer mouse), 3397 nucleotides long. RefSeq lists it as uncharacterized. Lineage: Eukaryota; Metazoa; Chordata; Mammalia; Rodentia; Cricetidae. The record is from RefSeq and is a predicted model, not a curated record.